Molecule: non-coding RNA, 1519 nt
Organism: Coffea arabica (coffee)
Lineage: Eukaryota; Viridiplantae; Streptophyta; Magnoliopsida; Gentianales; Rubiaceae
Source: RefSeq, a predicted model, not a curated record
GGCGCCGCACAGGGAUUUAGCUAGGAAGAACCAUCGGAGAGGCUUGAGAACAGAGGGGCAACAAGACAAGAAGAAAAACAGAGGAAGAAAAAGAGCAAAGGAGCGAGAGAGAGAGAUGGAGGAAGUGGCUUCGGGAAAAAAGGAGAAAAAACUAAGAAAAAGAAAAGACUAAGGGAGAGCCAAGGCAAGAGGGAAGGUUACGGAAACAAAACCAAAAAAAGGGAAAAACAGAGAAGGCCGAGAGAGAAAAGGAGAAAAAGACAAGGAGAAACGGAGAAACGGAGGAAAAAGAAAAUGGAAGAAAAAAAAAUGAGGGAGUGGCGGACGAAUUGAAGACUGGAAAAGCUGCGGGAAACUAAGGAAAAGAAUCAGAAAGAGGGGAGAUUGGUGAAGAAAAAGACGGAGAGAAACAAGAAAAAAAGAGAGCAGAGAAAGGCAGGAAGCGGCUAGGGUUUGGUUUUGGCAGAAAGGCUUCGAGAGGGAAAAGGGUAACAACGAAGGGGGCUGAAGAGAAAGGAGGGGAGAGCUAGGGGGUGAAAGAAGGAGAGAGAGCUUCGGUAGUAGAAAAAUUAUAGGGAAAAGAACAAAAACAGAGGAAAGAAACGGGCGACGGAAGGAGGGCUCUCGGCGAAAAGAAAAAACAAGCGGCCAGGAAAAAACAGAGCGAAGGAGGAAAAGCUGGAAUCCACCGCCUUUGCCUGCAAGAGCAUUUCAGUCGACUUCAGCUGUGGGACGGCGAGCUCCGCCUCUGGAGCCUUCAAUCUGGCACCACCUCCACCUUCAUCAUCAGUCCACCAUGACCACGCCGACAGCCGCCAAUCACCCCAAAUCAAACCCUCCGAUGCUCAGGUCAACGGAACCGCCGCUGCUCAUAGCCGCCGCCACCGCGACCGGAGUCCAUCGUCGCCGCCGCUCAAGCAAAAGCGCUGUCUGCUAUGGAAGGUUCAGAGUUUCCCAGUAGAAAUGGUCCAUCACCCUUGAGCCAAAAGGAUUCAAUCUUUGCUAAAGAAGCUGACAGGAGCUUUUCAGCUUCUGCUGCUGCUUGAGGAUCCAAAGGCCGGCCAAAUAAAGGUGCAAGCGUAGUAUUGAUGACUACCCCAACUGUCAAGAUAAGCAUACUUCAGAAUGCGGUACAACAUUAACAGGUAAACAGUGCUGAUCAUGAAGACGGAAAAUAAAAAUGAGACUGCUCUAUAUGUAACUGGGUCAUUUUUAGACAAAAAUCCAGUUAUUCAAAAAGAUUAAUUUUUCCUUCUGCAGUUCUUCAAUAAGGGAUGGGCGGCCAACAAACAUUUACUGCUCCAAUUGCCAAAUUUUAGGAACAGGCCAGCUUACUCAGACUAAGAUUUCUACUAUAUCCAGUAACUCUACCAUGAUUCUUAGACUUCUUCACAUGCUGCACUUGGGUUUUGAUAAUAAGUUCAAAGUAUUUGCUUGUUUCGACAUUUUUGCCCAAUUGGUCAUGGACGUUUAAGUGUUAAGCGACCCUCAUAUAUACUCAUCUUUUGCAGUCUGUUAA